Molecule: long non-coding RNA, 683 nt
Organism: Malus domestica (apple)
Lineage: Eukaryota; Viridiplantae; Streptophyta; Magnoliopsida; Rosales; Rosaceae
Source: RefSeq, a predicted model, not a curated record
GAGAAAUUUUUUGGGAAAACUUACAUCUGGAUUAUAAAAGAUUAACAAAUAAAUGCAUGCUUGAUUAAACCAACAACUUGCAACUGAUAAAAUUACUAAUUUAUUACCUACCCUUGUUCCCAGCUUUUGGCCCCUCUUGUUAGCUCAUACAGUACGAGGGAGAUAAGGUGGACCUCACAUCGGCAAAAUCCGAGGCUAAGCUGCUCCAUGAAAAGAUCUCAGACAAGGCCUACAACGAUGACGAUAUCAUCAGGAUUCUGGCUACGUGGAGCAAAGCACAGAUCAAUGCAACUCUAGAUCACUGCAAAAAAAGAAUUCGGGAGUGACAUCAACAAGGAUCUGAAAGCUGACCCCAACGAGUAUCUUGCAAUACUAAGGGCCACGAAAAAGUGAUUGGUCCGCCCUAACAAGUGUUUUGAAAAGUCUCUUCUUCUGGCAUUUAACAGACGAGGAACAGAUGAAGGAGCCCUCACUGGAGUUGUCGAUACGAGGGCUGAGGUUGGCAUGAAGAUUAUCAAGGACCUGUACCACAAAAGGAACAGCGUCCCUCUGUAUCAGGCCAUUAAAGAAGACACUACUUUAAUGCAUCUUUCUUGUAGGAGCAAGGCAAUAUAUUUGAAUCCGAUAUGUUCUACUUACGACAGAUAGUAAUAGUGGAAGCUUGUUUUUGUUUUACAAUUGAA